RNAcentral lists this ribosomal RNA (245 nucleotides) under uncultured archaeon. Its description in RNAcentral is "partial 16S ribosomal RNA". It matches the Rfam family "Archaeal small subunit ribosomal RNA", at positions 474 to 719 of the family's 1478-position model. The record is from RNAcentral.
UACCAGCUCUCCGAGUGGUAGGGAUGCUUAUUGGGCUUAAAGCGUCCGUAGCUGGCUUUUCAAGUCUCUCGUUAAAUCCAGCGAUUCAAUCGUUGGACUGCGGGAGAUACUGUUAGGCUUGGGGGCGGGAGAAGCCGACGGUAUUCCCGGUGUAGGGGUAAAAUCCUAUAAUCCCGGGAGGACCACCAGUGGCGUAGGCGGUCGGCUAGCACGCGCCCGACGGUGAGGGACGAAAGCUGGGGGAG